Long non-coding RNA from Engraulis encrasicolus (European anchovy), 1803 nucleotides. RefSeq lists it as uncharacterized. Lineage: Eukaryota; Metazoa; Chordata; Actinopteri; Clupeiformes; Engraulidae. The transcript has 4 exons. The record is from RefSeq and is a predicted model, not a curated record.
UUACGUUUGUGUUGAUAUUUUCGUUGUAAUUUUCGCUCAAAGUAUGUACAUUAGCGCCAUUAAUGUCCGCGAUCGUUAUGAAGUUAACAGGUGCUAACGAGCAGAUUGGGAAGUAAAUAAAUGCUACUGGAUCGAGGCCCCUCGUCAUCUCUCCUGCCUCUUCAAUCAUCCAAAGACUGUUUAGUCUGUUAUUUUAAUGUAAUGGUCGGUUCAUGUCCGUUGCAUUGACUUGACUUGUCAUUGGGUCUGAUUUUAAAUGUGCCAUAUAAUUCAAUGUGGGAGCAGAUUCACACACUAAAUAAGACACUAAGGUCAAGCACAAGCAGAUUUUUUGUUUUAUUUUUCUCAGAGCAGAGUAGAGCAGAUGUUUCAGGUUGCUGCCAUCAGAGAGCAGUGACUUGACCUCAGUGUCUUAUUUAGUGUACUCCCACAUUGAACUCUACUUUUUGGGUCCACGCACCUACUUAUUUCUAAACAUCUAGAGUGCAACAAUACCCAUGCCUCCUAAUGUGCCAUAUAACCUGUAUCUCGCCUAUUGUGUGUGUGUGUGUGUGUGUGUGAGUGUGAGUGUUCGUGAAUGUGUUCACGCAGAUAUAAGAAGUUGGGGUUGGGGUUGAUGAUCCACAUGAUGGUGAUGGACCAGGACAGCUCUGGACCUCCUGACUGGCAGCUCCAUCCUCAACCUCCCUUCCUGUCCUUCACACAUGUGCAGGCAGAGGCAGUUUUCUGAAGGAUGGUUAAUGUCAGUACCAACAUGUUGUGAUGGAGGCUUCCACCUGAGCUGAACACAGAAACUUGCACACAGUGAUGGAAGCAGUCGUUCCUGUUCAGCAUUGAUAUGCCGGUAAUGGGUUUGAUGAGCCACAGCAUGGUGAUGGGCAAUCAGCAUCAGGACCAGGGCCGCUCACAAGGAGAACCUCCUGCCCUGCCUCUUCAUCCUCAACCUCCAAUCUUCCUGCUCUUCACACAUGUGCAGGCACAGAGCCAGUUUUCAGAGGGAGGGCUGAUGACACCAGCAACUUCGGAUCUGAACCUGAUCAACCCAGCACCAACCACUGAACCGCUCCUCCUCUGCCAACUGCACCACAUGGCUCCACCAUCUCAAAAAGGCACAGACACUACUCCACUUCCUGCGAAGGAUGAGAGAAGAGCCGACCUCCCCACAACGGCACUCACCACCUUCUACAGGGGUGUCAUUGAGAGCAUCCUGACCAGCAGCCUCUCUGUCUGGCAUGGCAGCCGUCAAGCUGAAGACUAGAAGGCAGUACAGAGAGUGGUGAGGACAGCAGAAAAGCUCAUAAGAUCACCCCUACCUGUUCUCCCUACUACCAUCAGGGAAGCGCUAGCCCAGCAUGCGGUGCUGCAAAAGCACACUGGGAAACGACUUCUUUCCACAAGCCAUCAGACUCCUCAACGCACUGAAAAAAACCACAUGAAUAACCAAGGACACGGGAGAAUAUUCCAUGAACACUUCUUUCACCAUGCCACUUACACUUUACUCAUUGCACCUUGUAUACAGCAUCUUCACACCACCUGUAUGAACUCCUCCUGCCGUGUGUGUGUGUCCACUGUGUUUGUGUAUUUAUUGUCCAUCAGUAUGUUAAUCUUAUUAUUGCACACUGUUUGGGUGUCUGUAUUUAUAGUAUGUAUCAGUCUGUAUUUAAUGCCAAUGCCUUAUUUUUAGUUAUUAGUUAAAUGCACAUUGGAGACUGGUCAAACACAAUUUCAAACUUUGUGUUAACCCUCUUGUUGACCGUUCACACUUCAUAGUGUAAAAGUAAACAGAAAUAAAUUCACAUUUCA